AACCUGGUUGAUCCUGCCAGUAGUCAUAUGCUUGUCUCAAAGACUAAGCCAUGCAUGUCUAAGUAUAAACGCUUCUAUACUGUGAAACUGCGAAUGGCUCAUUAAAUCAGUUAUAGUUUAUUUGAUGGUUUCUUACUACUUGGAUAACCGUGGUAAUUCUAGAGCUAAUACAUGCACAAAGUCCCGACUCUUCGGAAGGGAUGUAUUUAUUAGAUCCAAAACCAAUGCGAGUCUCUCGGGGCUCGGUUUCUUGGUGAUUCAUGAUAACUGCUCGAACCGUAUGGCCCUUGCGCCGACGGUGCUUCAUUCAAAUUUCUGCCCUAUCAACUUUCGAUGGUACGGUAGUGGCCUACCAUGGUUGCAACGGGUGACGGAGAAUUAGGGUUCGAUUCCGGAGAGGGAGCCUGAGAAACGGCUACCACAUCCAAGGAAGGCAGCAGGCGCGCAAAUUACCCAAUCCCGACUCGGGGAGGUAGUGACAAUAAAUAACAAUGCCGGGCUAUUGUAGUCUGGCAAUUGGAAUGAGUACAAUCUAAAUCCCUUAACGAGGAACAAUUGGAGGGCAAGUCUGGUGCCAGCAGCCGCGGUAAUUCCAGCUCCAAUAGCGUAUAUUAAAGUUGUUGCAGUUAAAAAGCUCGUAGUUGGAUUUCGGGGUGGCCUGCCUGGUCCACCGCAAGGUGAGUACUGGUCAGCCGCCCUUCCUCUCGAAAGCCCCGACUGCUCUUCACUGCAGUGGUCGGGUAGUUCGGGACGUUUACUUUGAAAAAAUUAGAGUGUUCAAGGCAGGCUAUCGCCUGAAUACAUUAGCAUGGAAUAAUGGAAGAGGACCUCGGUCCUAUUUUGUUGGUUUCUAGGGCCGAAGUAAUGAUUAAGAGGGACAGUUGGGGGCAUUCGUAUUUAAUUGUCAGAGGGUGAAAUUCUUG
This 923-nucleotide ribosomal RNA is filed under the name Halichondria panicea. Its description in RNAcentral is "SSU rRNA". It matches the Rfam family "Eukaryotic small subunit ribosomal RNA", at positions 1 to 922 of the family's 1831-position model. The record is from RNAcentral. Lineage: Eukaryota; Metazoa; Porifera; Demospongiae; Suberitida; Halichondriidae.